Molecule: ribosomal RNA, 141 nt
Filed under: Felis catus (domestic cat)
Lineage: Eukaryota; Metazoa; Chordata; Mammalia; Carnivora; Felidae
Description: partial small subunit ribosomal RNA
Source: RNAcentral
GUUAGAUACCCCACUAUGCUUAGCCCUAAACUUAGAUAGUUACCCUAAACAAAACUAUCCGCCAGAGAACUACUAGCAAUAGCUUAAAACUCAAAGGACUUGGCGGUGCUUUACAUCCCUCUAGAGGAGCCUGUUCUAGUA